Molecule: ribosomal RNA, 684 nt
Filed under: Neocallimastix frontalis
Lineage: Eukaryota; Fungi; Neocallimastigomycota; Neocallimastigomycetes; Neocallimastigales; Neocallimastigaceae
Description: bacterial SSU rRNA
Rfam family: Eukaryotic small subunit ribosomal RNA (bases 1-310)
Source: RNAcentral
CAUCCUUGAUCGGAAGGUCCGGGUAAUCUUUUGAAACUUCAUCGUGCUGGGGAUAGUCCCUUGCAAUUUUUGGACUUAAACGAGGAAUUCCUAGUAAGCGUGAGUCAUCAACUCGCGUUGAUUACGUCCCUGCCCUUUGUACACACCGCCCGUCGCUACUACCGAUUGAAUGGCUUAGUGAAUCCUUCGGAUUGGCUAUUUUUUUCUGGCAACAGAAUUAAACUGCUAAAAAGUUGGGCAAACUUGGUCAUUUAGAGGAAGUAAAAGUCGUAACAAGGUUUCCGUAGGUGAACCUGCGGAAGGAUCAUUAAAAAAUAUCGCUCGAUUGAGAGUGAUUUAAUAAUCAUCCUACCCUUUGUGAAUUUGUUGUUUGUAAUAAUUUUUUUUGAUUUUAAAAAAAAAUUAUUUAUGGUUUUGUCUAUCCCUAAAAUUGGUUUGUUGUGAAAUGAAUCAAAUUUAGGGAAUAGGCUUUCAUAAAUAAGUUUUUUUUAAAGUCUUAAAGACCUUUUUUAAAAUUAAACUUUUGUUGUAUUCAUUUGUCUAAAUUUUUUUUUAAAUAAUUUAAAAACAACUUUUGACAAUGGAUCUCUUGGUUCUCGCAACGAUGAAGAACGCAGCAAAAUGCGAUAAGUAAUGUGAAUUGCAGAAUACGUGAAUCAUCAAAUCUUCGAACGCAUAUUGCAC